This 404-nucleotide ribosomal RNA is filed under the name uncultured bacterium. Its description in RNAcentral is "partial 16S ribosomal RNA". It matches the Rfam family "Bacterial small subunit ribosomal RNA", at positions 30 to 526 of the family's 1533-position model. The record is from RNAcentral.
AUUGAACGCUGGCGGCAGGCCUAACACAUGCAAGUCGAGCGAGCGGCGGACGGGUGCGUAAUACCUGGAAAUUGCCCAGUCGAGGGGGAUAACAGUUGGAAACGACUGCUAAUACCUCAUACGAUUUGAUUGCCCAGGUGGGGUUAGCUAGUUGGUGAGGUAAUGGCUCACCAAGGCGACGGUCCCUAGCUGGCCUGAGAGGAUGAUCGGCCACACUGGAACUGAGACACGGCCCAGACUCCUACGGGAGGCAGCAGUGGGGAAUAUUGGUCAAUGGGGGAAACCCUGAUGCAGCCAUGCCGCGUGUGUGAAGAAGGCCUUCGGGUUGUAAAGCACUUUCAGCGGGGAGGCGUUACCCGAAGAAGAAGCACCGGCUAACUCCGUGCCAGCAGCCGCGGUAAUUC